Molecule: ribosomal RNA, 1373 nt
Filed under: metagenome
Description: bacterial LSU rRNA
Rfam family: Bacterial large subunit ribosomal RNA
Source: RNAcentral
UGUUCCUCGGAACAUGAAGUGCUUGAUGCCAUGCUUCCAAGAAAAGCCUCUAAGCUUCAGGUAAAAAGAGACCGUACUCUAAACCGACACAGGUGGUCAGGUAGAGAAUACCAAGGCGCUUGAGAGAACUCGGGUGAAGGAACUAGGCAAAAUGGCACCGUAACUUCGGGAGAAGGUGCGCCGGUUUUGGUGAAAGGGCUUGCCCCUCGAGCUGAGGCCGGCCGAAGAUACCAGUCCCCUGCAACUGUUUAUUAAAAACACAGCACUCUGCAAACACGUAAGUGGACGUAUAGGGUGUGACGCCUGCCCGGUGCCGGAAGGUUAAUUGAUGGGGUUAGCGUAAGCGAAGCUCUUGAUCGAAGCCCCGGUAAACGGCGGCCGUAACAAUAACGGUCCUAAGGUAGCGAAAUUCCUUGUCGGGUAAGUUCCGACCUGCACGAAUGGCGUAAUGAUGGGGGAGCUGUCUCCACCCGAGACUCAGUGAAAUUGAAAUCGCGGUUAAGAUGCCGUGUACCCGCGGCUAGACGGAAAGACCCCGUGAACCUUUACUGUAGCUUUGCACUGAACUUUGAACCUAUCUGUGUAGGAUAGGUGGGAGGCUUUGAAGUCGAGACGCUAGUUUCGAUGGAGCCGUCCUUGAAAUACCACCCUGGUAUGUUUGAGGUUCUAACCUAGGUCCGUUAUCCGGACUGGGGACAGUGUAUGGUGGGCAGUUUGACUGGGGCGGUCUCCUCCCAAAGAGUAACGGAGGAGCACGAAGGUUGGCUAAUCCUGGUCGAAAAUCAGGAGGUUAGUGUAAUGGCACAAGCCAGCUUGACUGCGAGACAGACAUGUCGAGCAGGUACGAAAGUAGGUCAUAGUGAUCCGGUGGUUCUGUAUGGAAGGGCCAUCGCUCAACGGAUAAAAGGUACUCCGGGGAUAACAGGCUGAUACCGCCCAAGAGUUCACAUCGACGGCGGUGUUUGGCACCUCGAUGUCGGCUCAUCACAUCCUGGGGCUGAAGCCGGUCCCAAGGGUAUGGCUGUUCGCCAUUUAAAGUGGUACGCGAGCUGGGUUUAGAACGUCGUGAGACAGUUCGGUCCCUAUCUGCCGUGGGCGUUGGAGAUUUGAGAAGAGUUGUUCCUAGUACGAGAGGACCGGAAUGAACGCACCUCUGGUGUUCGGGUUGUCAUGCCAAUGGCAUCGCCCGGUAGCUACGUGCGGACGGGAUAACCGCUGAAAGCAUCUAAGCGGGAAGCCUCCUUCAAGAUUAGAUCUCCCUGGAACUUUAAGUUCCCUGUAGAGCCGUUGAAGACUACGACGUUGAUAGGUUGGGUGUGGAAGCGUCGCGAGGCGUUGAGCUAACCAAUACUAAUUGCUCGUGCGGCUUGAUC